Molecule: ribosomal RNA, 22 nt
Filed under: Lasiodiplodia theobromae
Lineage: Eukaryota; Fungi; Ascomycota; Dothideomycetes; Botryosphaeriales; Botryosphaeriaceae
Description: partial small subunit ribosomal RNA
Source: RNAcentral
AAGAUCCUUCCGUAGGGUGAAC